Molecule: ribosomal RNA, 253 nt
Filed under: uncultured bacterium
Lineage: Bacteria
Description: partial 16S ribosomal RNA
Rfam family: Bacterial small subunit ribosomal RNA
Source: RNAcentral
UACGUAGGGUGCGAGCGUUGUCCGGAAUUAUUGGGCGUAAAGAGCUCGUAGGCGGUUUGUUGCGUCUAUCGUGAAAACCUGCAGCUUAACUGUGGGCUUGCGGUGGAUACGGGCAGACUUGAGUUCGGUAGGGGAGACUGGAAUUCCUGGUGUAGCGGUGAAAUGCGUUGAUAUCGGGAGGAAUACCCGUGGCGAAGGCGGUCCACUGGGCAUCAACUGACGCUGAGGCGCGAAAGCGUGGGUAGCAAACAGG